This 85-nucleotide transfer RNA is filed under the name Felis catus (domestic cat). It matches the Rfam family "tRNA". Rfam says of the family: Transfer RNA (tRNA) molecules are approximately 80 nucleotides in length. Their secondary structure includes four short double-helical elements and three loops (D, anti-codon, and T loops). The record is from Rfam by way of RNAcentral. Lineage: Eukaryota; Metazoa; Chordata; Mammalia; Carnivora; Felidae.
GCCUGGGUGGCUUAGUGGGUUAAGCUUCUGACUUGGACUCAAGUCAUAAUCUCUCAGUUUGUGGGUUCGACCCCCUCAUCGGGCU